GGAGGUAACUCCUUCUAAGCUAAAUACGACCAUGAGACCGAUAGUAAACAAGUACCGUGUGGGAAAGUUGAAAAGCACUCUGAAUAGAGAGUCAAAUAGUACGUGAAACUGCCGAGGGUGUAAAGCCUGUUGAACUCGAUUAUCCGUAGUUCCUGGCAUCGUGGGUUUUGGCUGUCACGCAGAAGGGGGCCUUCUGUAUGCCUUGACCCUAGCCAGGAACGAGUGCGGACAUCGUGAUCCAUUACGCAAACCAAAUGCGAGCGGCGACUCCGGUUGCUGCGAGCAUAUCCAACAUCAGGUCCCAGAACAUGCGGUCGACCCUCUAGUAGUGGCGCUCAGCUUAAGGCCGGCGUCGCGAACGGGGGAUCGAGGCUCCGGUCUCGAGUUCGGCUAGUUCCGGUGUGCCGUUGGAUGCGUGAUGGGCAUUGAAGUGAACUAGAGAAGUGUGAAGCGCAUGUUUGGGCAUGUUCAAGGGCGAAAGCCUGAGCCGAGCACGACUCCGGAUCUACGAUGUACUAACUAAUCGAGGUACCUACGGGACCCGUCUUGAAACACGGAAAAAAAAAUUACACAAA
RNAcentral lists this ribosomal RNA (575 nucleotides) under Anopheles sinensis. Its description in RNAcentral is "eukaryotic LSU rRNA". It matches the Rfam family "Eukaryotic large subunit ribosomal RNA", at positions 295 to 664 of the family's 3401-position model. Lineage: Eukaryota; Metazoa; Arthropoda; Insecta; Diptera; Culicidae. The record is from RNAcentral.